This is a long non-coding RNA of Micropterus salmoides (largemouth bass), 1247 nucleotides long. RefSeq lists it as uncharacterized. NCBI's taxonomy places the organism in Eukaryota, Metazoa, Chordata, Actinopteri, Centrarchiformes, Centrarchidae. The record is from RefSeq and is a predicted model, not a curated record. The transcript has 2 exons.
UCAUGUCCGUGUGACCGAGCUGCGUGAUGUGGCUGUGGAGGCUGCUCAGUGACUACCAUAGUAUUUGACAGGCUGAGGUCUUCUAUCUUGUCCCAUUCAGUAGCAUAGCCAGGAACACCAGACAGGACACUGAGGAUUCUCCUUGGAGUCAAACAGGUUGGUGACCAGCUGUCCAAAGUGCUGCCAAAGUUAGAUCUGUCCAAAUACAGGUGGAGCUGCCGCUCACUCCAGUGGCUCCCUGAACAUCACACCCUCUGGGCCUACUGUAUCCCUGCCCUGUAGCUGCUGAGGCAACUAAAGCUGUGCACGCUUUCACCAUCUAUUGUAUGUGUGUGUUUUAAUGAAUAAGAGGUUACAAGAAACAACAUUUAUUUGUUAAACACAGUAGCAAUAUCUGUCCAAGCACUGUCCUCCAAAAGCAUGUAUAUUUAAGUUUUCAUGUUCCCUCUCAGGUCACAGUGCUGUAACCACAUGUGUAAAUAUUGUGAGCAGGGCCAGUGUGGAGACAGCUGAGGUGAAUUAACACAAAGUAGUCUGUGUGUUGGAAAAACUAAAUUCAUAAAUCAUUUAGGUCAAAUUUUUCAAAUCAUGUUCCUGAAAAUAAACUUUCCCCUCCUCUCCUAGCUCCCUAUGUAAGCUGUCACCAAGCUGUGUCUGGUUACCAUAAAAAAGAUCACAGAUCAAAUUAUUACUUUACAGUUGACUCUUUUUUUUGCUGGUCUCUACAGACAACUCUCAAUUUUAGAUUUAUUUUCUGCUGUUCUUCUCUUACCCUGGGAUUACUUGCUUUAGAUAGAUCUUGGCUUCAUUACAUUUUUCCUUAAGAGACAUUUAGGUUUCACAGAUCAGAAUUCAUUAGCCUAGCUCAAUAGCUCAGCAAAAAAACAGGUCUGAUAGAUGCACGAAUCUGAGGCUUGAAAGAAGGCCUGAAGUGCUUGGGUUAUGGCUAAAAAGACCAACUCAUUCUUAUUUACAGGUCAUCCAAUACUGCAUAGACUACUAUUACACAACCCUGAAGAUGGGUUUGUAAAUGUAUUUAUUCUUGGUUUUAAGAUUUUAUAUCAGCAUGACAAUUAUAAUCUGUUCUGUUAGCUAGAGUAAGCAUAACACAGAAUAAUAAAAAUAAUAAAAGGUAAUAACAAUGAGAUACAGAAUAAAUUAUUUUUAAAUGGGAAAUAAAACAGAAAUGAAAUAUUGACAUUACAAAUUAAUUAUAGGAUUUGCUAUGGACAAAUAAAUUAUGUGUA